RNAcentral lists this long non-coding RNA (1422 nucleotides) under Heterocephalus glaber (naked mole-rat). RNAcentral describes it as "lncRNA (ENSHGLG00000045612.1)". Lineage: Eukaryota; Metazoa; Chordata; Mammalia; Rodentia; Bathyergidae. The record is from RNAcentral.
GUCUGAACAGAACAGCGUCGCUUCUCUGAGACAGAGUGGCCAGCGGGCUGUCCUUCACCGUGCAUGCAGUCCACAGCCAGCACAGGCCCCACCAGGCCCAGCCAGGCUGCCCGACCUCAGGCCUAGCCUCUUCCGUCCGGCGCUCUGACAGGCCUGCCCCAGGCGACUGGGUGAGCUGUCUCAGCCAGCAGCCCCGCUGCCUUAGCCGUGAUCUGUCCUUGCCGCAGUGGCCCAGUUGGUGGCCAGGGGACCGUUGGAAAAUGCUGGCUCACGGUGAUCGGAUGGCCCUGGGGACAGCAGGCCACCGGGUCACCUGCAGAAGAGUGGCAGGCGGGCCCAUGUGCUGUCCCCAGUCCUGUCCUGUGACUUGAGGAACCCACAGUCUGGCGCUGGAAGGACAGUGCGGGAGGAGCAGUCCUUUGUCCGGCCGUGUAACACACCACUUUCUACAUGAGUAAAUUACUCUAAAAUUUGUGUGAUUUUUUUUGUGUGUGAUUUUUUUUGGUACCGGGGAUCGAACUCGGGUCCUUGUACUUGCGCAGCAGGCAGCGAAACCACUGAGCUAAAUCCCCGGCCCCUUUUUGUGAUGUUUUUUAACGGAACCAACAUGGCAGGUGUUGCUUUGUAAGACUUUGAUCAGCACAAUGCAUUUAUAGGAAUUUUAUCAGUGUCACAAAUUAUGCUAGAUCCUGAAUGUGCAAAAAAUGCAGUUCUUGGACAUUCAUCAUGUAAAUGUCCUGCCCUACUUUGACCCCAGCCCCGGCCCCAGCUGACUUAGCCAUAGCGUCUCCCCAUAGGCCAAGAAAAUGAGAUCGCUUGAACAGCAUAUUUCCUGGCUAAUUUAUUAAGACGGUUUCUGGGUUAUACAAUAUUCCUGAACCAAAGGUCACUCGCUGGCAAGAGAAAGCAAUCUCCCUUUCAAUAAACAAGGAAAAAAAUGUCAAACUGAAUUCCGAGCUAUUUGACCAUGCUGACCUGGUUUUAGACCUUAUUCUCAUUUCCAUGAGGUCAAGGUGAACUCCAAAUCCCAGGUUGGGUUUAAGGUUUGUUUAAAGUACUGCUGGGGGAAAGAGUCGCUCUCCCAGCCGUCCUGGACGGUGAUGUCAGUCAGGCGAUCCCAGGUGCGGAGGGGAAGAGAGACCCGAGGGGUGUGGCACAGACAGCUGAAGCUGCUCUGGCCACCGCAAGCCCCACGUCAGCCGCGGGUCCCUACUCCUGCAGGAAACGACAUUUUCCCAGGGAUUUUGGAGCUGGGUCAGCCACUGGCCUGAAGUUAUGUGUAAACCCAGGGUCCCCAUGUUCUUCAUGGAGCCACUAACAGCAACCCAAAGAAAAGACUCCAGUAGGCCAGGAAAACGUGUUGCACCCGUGAGGCCGUGCUGGAUUACUGCCACUCCAGUAAAAUAAAGUAUGCGUUCACAG